UACGGAGAAUGCAAGCGUUAUCCGGAAUGAUUGGGCGUAAAGCGUCCGCAGGUGGCUGUGUAAGUCUGCUGUCAAAGAGCGAAGCUCAACUUCGUAAAGGCAGUGGAAACUACACGGCUAGAGUGCGUUCGGGGCAGAGGGAAUUCCUGGUGUAGCGGUGAAAUGCGUAGAGAUCAGGAAGAACACCGGUGGCGAAGGCGCUCUGCUAGGCCGCAACUGACACUGAGGGACGAAAGCUAGGGGAGCGAAUGGG
RNAcentral lists this ribosomal RNA (253 nucleotides) under uncultured bacterium. RNAcentral's name for it is "partial 16S ribosomal RNA". It matches the Rfam family "Bacterial small subunit ribosomal RNA", at positions 524 to 776 of the family's 1533-position model. The record is from RNAcentral.